RNAcentral lists this ribosomal RNA (530 nucleotides) under uncultured prokaryote. RNAcentral describes it as "bacterial SSU rRNA". It matches the Rfam family "Bacterial small subunit ribosomal RNA", at positions 355 to 896 of the family's 1533-position model. The record is from RNAcentral.
UGGGGAAUAUUGGGCAAUGGAGGAAACUCUGACCCAGCGACGCCGCGUGAGGGAUGAAGGCCUUCGGGUUGUAAACCUCUUUCAGUAGGGAAGAAGCGAAAGUGACGGUACCUACAGAAGAAGCACCGGCUAACUAUGUGCCAGCAGCCGCGGUAAUACAUAGGGUGCAAGCGUUGUCCGGAGUUACUGGGCGUAAAGAGCUCGUAGGUGGUUCGAUACGUCGGAUGUGAAAAUCAGGGGCUCAACCCCUGACCUGCAUCCGAUACGGUCGAGCUAGAGUUUGGUAGGGGAGACUGGAAUUCCUGGUGUAGCGGUGGAAUGCGCAGAUAUCAGGAGGAACACCGAUGGCGAAGGCAGGUCUCUGGGCCAAUACUGACACUGAGGAGCGAAAGCGUGGGGAGCGAACAGGAUUAGAUACCCUGGUAGUCCACGCCGUAAACGGUGGGCGCUAGUUGUGCGAACCUUCCACGGUUUGUGCGACGCAGCUAACGCAUUAAGCGCCCCGCCUGGGGAGUACGAUCGCAAGAUUA